Long non-coding RNA from Tribolium castaneum (red flour beetle), 398 nucleotides. RefSeq lists it as uncharacterized. The record is from RefSeq and is a predicted model, not a curated record. The transcript is spliced from 3 exons. Lineage: Eukaryota; Metazoa; Arthropoda; Insecta; Coleoptera; Tenebrionidae.
CUAAAAAAAAUUUGGGGAGGCGCCCCCUACGAAAAACGACUUAACCUGACAGCAGAGCUGACAGACGUCAAAAUUUAAAGGUUAAGUUAAAAAUCAACAAACAAACCAAAAAAACUUAUCAAAGGUCUUAUCACUUGAGGUAUCUGAGCAUAAGAUGUUUGAUUCCGGAGACACUCUGGCCUUAAUUCUUGGCCUUUUUAUCAGCAGCAUCGGGAUUUUGGCUUGUCUUGGAGCCUAUGCCCGAAAGAAAGCCCAUUUUGAACGUAUUUAAGUGCGAAGUCUGUUAUUUUCAUAUUCCUACGCAAAUAAUGGCGAUAAAGAAAUGGAAUGUUACGCAGUUACCAUUCUUAAAACAAAGAUGUAAAAAGUAAUAAAGUUUUUAUAUUGCAAAUAAAAAA